AUUGAACGCUGGCGGCAGGCCUAACACAUGCAAGUCGAGCGAGCGGCGGACGGGUGAGUAAUGUCUGGGAAACUGCCUGAUGGAGGGGGAUAACUCCUGGAAACGGUAGCUAAUACCACCUACCAUCAGAUGUGCCCAGGUGGGAUUAGCUAGUCGGUGGGGUAACGGCUCACCUAGGCGACGAACCCUAGCUGGUCUGAGCGGAUGCCCAGCCACACUGGAACUGAUACACGGUCCAGACUCCUACGGGAGGCAGCAGUGGGGAAUAUUGCACAAUGGGCGCAAGCCUGAUGCAGCCAUGCCGUGUGUGUGAAGAAGGCCUUCGGGUUGUAAAGCACUUUCAGCGGGGAGGCGUUACCCGCAGAAGAAGCACCGGCUAACUCCGUGCCAGCAGCCGCGGUAAUUC
Molecule: ribosomal RNA, 406 nt
Filed under: uncultured bacterium
Lineage: Bacteria
Description: partial 16S ribosomal RNA
Rfam family: Bacterial small subunit ribosomal RNA
Source: RNAcentral